CAACUACUUUGGCUUGGAGACCACCAAGCUUCUGAAGCCAAGGAUCGCAACUGAGAAAAAGCCAAAAACUGUAAGCGUACUUGAUUUUUGUUCUUCAAUCGGUAAAUAUUUAACUAUUAAUUGCAAAAUAUGGUGUUAAUCCACAAAAAAUAGUUGUGAAUUCAACUGUUAUAAUGUUGUUGGGUACGAUUUUAUGUCUCAAAAAUGUUUGGGUUUAGUAUUAUAAUUUGAUUUGAUUUUUCUUUUUCUUUUUUUUAAACCACGAAAAUCAGUUGAGAUGCUAUAAUUUCUCAAGUGUUGUACUAUUUUUUGUUGCAAGAAUGAUAGGGUUUAGGAUUCUUCUUUGAUGUUAUUUUUCUUUUGUUUUUUUUCAUCUGUGAAUGGGACGUGAUAAUGGUGCAUGGCUGCAUAAUUUUUGGUAGAAACACUUGGCUCAACAAUGAACAUUGUACCAAUUUAAGGUUCACAGUACAUGAUUUAUUAUGUAAAGAAUCUUGCUAACAAUUUUUUUAAAAAAAUUUAAAGUUUUGUUUUGUUGUCGACCAACAGAAAAAGACUUGUGAUAUGUGCCUUAUGUAUAAAGUUAUGAUCUUAUUGUUCUUUAUUUCAUCAAACACUAUAUAUGCUUUCACUAUUUGUGUCUUAUAUGUUAUAUUCCGUCAUUCAGUGGCCCAUUUGUAUGUUGUUUUAUUAGUAAGUGGUCCUUGUUGUUCCUUUAUUUUUAUUUAUUUAUUUAUUUAUUUAUUUGUGCUUAUUAAUGAUUAAAGUGUGCAGUUGGUUUUGAGAAUGUUACUGGUGAAGUGGUCCUGCUCAAGUUAGUUUUUUUUUUUUUUUUUUUUUUUUUUUUUUCCUACUCUUAUUUAAGUGUAUCCUCUAUUGCACUUUUGGACUUUUUAUGCUUAUUAUUGACCUUUUUGAAAUCUCAACAACCUUUUUAGUUGUUUACUUUAAUAUGUGAUUAAAGUAUUUGGUUAACUUUUUAAAUUGUUUACUGUCAAAUAUGAUUAAAGUAUGUAGGUUUAUGUUAUUUAUGUAGAUGCACUUUACAGCAUUGAACUCCAUCAUGGGGGUGUGUUCUCUAAAACACCCCCUAUGUCGUAUAUAGAAGAAUAUUUCACUAUGAUUCCAAUAGUUGACCCAGACAUCAUGUCAUAUGAUGAUAUUUAAGAGAUGGCUGGUUGAAGUGUUUUACAAAGUACCAUUUUUAAAGGGUAGUCAAAGCUUCAGAAAGGUUGAGUAUGACGGAUGUACUUAGCAUAUUUUAUGACUAUUAAGCUAAGAGGGUAACAACUAUCAUCAAGUUUUACAUUGUUCCACCUUUGUUAAAUGUGCAAGGGGAAAAGAUUAAGCUUCCAAUAGAUAGCUCAGACUCAAAUAGGUCAAGUGAUGAUAUCUCAAAACAAGAUUCAGAUUACGCUCUGAGUGAUAAGUUAAUUAAUUUAUGUGGAUUAGAUGAGGAGGAUAGUGGUCCUAAGUACCCAGAGUAUAUUCCUUCAAGGGUUUUGGAUGUAAAAGAACUAGAAUUAGGAAUGAAAUUUGGGACAGCUGCACACUUUAGAUUGGCACUUAAAGAAAUAGCAUUGAAGGGCAAGUUUAAUAUAAAGUUCAAAAGAAAUGAUGGUGAUAGGAUCUCUGCAGUAUGUAAGGCUAAAUGUGGGUGGAAAGUAUUUGCAAGCAAACCAGUCCGGAUUGCUUGAUAGUGAAGACAUAUAAGUCAGAACAUACCAACUAUCUUUGGUUUCAUACUAAUGGACAAGCAUCGUCUUCUUACUUAGCCACUAAGUACUUAAAGCAACUGAGAAUGAACCCAACCAUACCUUGUGAUACACUAAGGACCAUUAUUGCUUCUGAUAUAAACAUUGAUGUGUCCAAACACAAAGUAAGAAAGGUACAGAGAAAAGCUAUUGAAAUCAUUCAGGGAAAUAAAGCAGAACAAUAUCAAAAGAUGAGGAAAUACUGUCAGUUAAUAUAUACAUCUAACACAGGAAGUGUUGUUAAAAUUCAAACUAACCCCACAUGUGAACAGAAUGUAAGGAGAUUUCAAAGGGUUUUCAUCUGUUAUGCUAUAAUGAGGAAGGGUUUCAAAGAAGGUUGUAGGAAAAUUAUUGGUAUUGAUGGUUACUUUUUGAAGGGUUCAUAUGGUGGCCACCUUUUGAGUGCAAUAUCUAUUGGUGGAAAUAAACAAAUGUUCCUAGUUGCAAUUGCAGUAGUUGAGGCUGAGAUAAGGGAUUCUUGGAGUUGGUUUAUAACAUAACUGAUAGAGGCUGUGGGGCCUUAUACUGACAUCACAUUCAUAUCUGCUAUACAAAAGGGAUUGGUUGAAACUUUUGAGAAUAUCAUGGAGGGUUCGGUCCAUAGAUAUUAUGUGAGGCAUCUGUAUGAGAACUUCAGAUUUAAAGGGCAACAGUUGAAAAUUGACUCAACUUGAGUUGUGGGAGGCUGCAAGGUCAUUUACAGAAGCUAAUUUUGAUGCACAUAUGAAGAAGAUACAGGAGUUGAAUGUCGAAGCUUAUGGUUGGCUUCGAAAUGUGCCAUCUGAAAUGUGGUUAAGGUCAGGUUUCAUAUACUGAUCAAAAAGUGAAAUGGUGAUCAAUAAUAUAUGUGAAAGCUAGAUUGUUGUCAUUCUUAAAGCCAGGGAUAAACCAAUAAUUUAUAUGUUAGAGUGGAUCAGGAGGCAUUUCACUCUGAGAUUCCAACAAAAGAGGGAGUGGAUGGAAUCAAAUGAUGGCUUAUUGUGUCCAGAUAUUCAAAAUAAAUUGAACAAAGUGAAGAAGGCAACAAAGAUGUCUAACGUGCACUAUACUGGUGAUAACAAGUAUGAGGUUGAGUGUUUUGGUAUCAUUGAGGCAGUUGAUCUUGGAAAGAAGAGUCACAACUGCAGGGAAUGGAAUAUGACUAGUAUCCCUUGUAAACAUGUUGUAGCAUGCAUUUUUACAAGAAGGGGGAUAUGCCUGAAUCAUAUAUUGAUCCAUGCUAUCAUAGGGAAACCUACUUGAAGGUAUAUGCAGGUUUGAUCAAUCCAUUUCCCAUGAGAAAGUUGUUGAAAUCACAACCCAGUGAGCAAUUGUUUCCACCAAUCUUUAGGAAACCUAUUGGUAGACCAAAGAAGGCAAGGAAUAAGAAAAAUGAUAAGCCUAGUACUUCAAGCAAGCCAACCAAGGUUAGUAGGUCAAAUGAUCUGUUAACACGUUCAAAGUGCAAGGAGAAAGGCCAUAACUCAAGGACUUAUAAACUCCCUGCACCAUUGGUCAUUGAGAAACCUCCUCUAAAAAGGGGAGGCAGACCACUAAUACUUGGAAGAGGAAGAGGAAAAGGAAUACUAUUGAGAGGAAGGGGCAUGAGAGGUGCAAGAGGUGGACGAACUGCUGUUGGAAAUGAAAUUCCUACUGCAAUUCAGAGUCAAGAGGUCUAUGAUGAACAGUGAUUAUGCUUCAUGGUAAAUAACUUCAACUGCAGAUUUUUGGGUGUGGUUGGUACUGAAUUGAUAAUAGCUACUGUUGACAUGAAGAACUGGAAGUAUUUUUUGUCUCAUUGUGUCAUUGACAUGUAGCAUGCAUUAAGUUAAUGUUAUGUAAGAAUGUUUAAGUAUUUUGGUGUUAUGUAAGAAUGUUAAGUACUUUGGUGUUAUGAAAGAAUGUUAAGUACUUUGGUUAUCGUUAUUAUAAGAAUGAUUUGGUUAUGUAAAUCCAGUUCAGUAUGCUUACUUAUAAUGGUCAUAUGUUAUUAUUG
Long non-coding RNA from Cornus florida, 3729 nucleotides. RefSeq lists it as uncharacterized. The transcript is spliced from 3 exons. The record is from RefSeq and is a predicted model, not a curated record. Lineage: Eukaryota; Viridiplantae; Streptophyta; Magnoliopsida; Cornales; Cornaceae.